CUUUCUUUGCUGGCGACCGGCGCACGGGUGAGUAACACGUAUCCAACCUGUCCUUUACUCGGGGAUAGCCUUUCGAAAGAAAGAUUAAUACCCGAUAGCAUAAUGAUUCCGCAUGGUUUCAUUAUUAAAGGAUUCCGGUAAAGGAUGGGGAUGCGUUCCAUUAGGUUGUUGGUGAGGUAACGGCCCACCAAGCCUUCGAUGGAUAGGGGUUCUGAGAGGAAGGUCCCCCACAUUGGAACUGAGACACGGUCCAA
RNAcentral lists this ribosomal RNA (254 nucleotides) under uncultured bacterium. RNAcentral's name for it is "partial 16S ribosomal RNA". It matches the Rfam family "Bacterial small subunit ribosomal RNA", at positions 79 to 334 of the family's 1533-position model. The record is from RNAcentral.